UCCGAUAUGGUGUAACGGCUAACAUUGCCGCCUUUCAUAAAACGGGUCUAUUAUAAACUACAAUCGCGGCAGCUCGGGGUUCGAUUCCCCGUAUCGGAA
Molecule: non-coding RNA, 99 nt
Organism: Crucibulum laeve
Lineage: Eukaryota; Fungi; Basidiomycota; Agaricomycetes; Agaricales; Nidulariaceae
Source: the annotation of a GenBank genome assembly